AAGUAAGAACACAUGUACACGAAUAUAGCUUGCUUAUAAACUGUCCAAUUGAUUGAAGCCAAUAUUCAGAACGUAUACGCGAGCCAACCUGCUCACUCACAUCCCAUCUAAGCCCUCAAGAUCUCCCCAGUUCAUCAACCCAACCUUUGAGCAUUUCCAAAUCAACAUGAAGAUUGCAACGACAUGUCUUUUGGUCACUUUAUUGAUUUUUAUCCAAGGACAAGUUGGUAAAUCCCAUUUCGCCACCUUUCAUCAAGGAACUGACUCGUUAAAGAGUGAUACCCCAAGAGUCUCCGUCGACGAACUGAAUGAUCAUUUGGAAUUCGAUGAGGGUUCCGGAAUAAUGGAACGAUGUUAAAUGUGCCAGAAUGUCCCGGAAAUGGCUAUCUAAUGUUUACCAUUUCCCUGCCGAAUCCGAGAGGAUGUUACAUUUUCCAGACCACUGGAUUCAACAUGAAUGGAUAUACGAAUAGUUCAGGUGCUUUUCGAUACCAUUGCGCUUACACCAUUCAGAUACUUUGUUCUUGUUUCAAAGUUUUUGCUUGCACACAUAGCCUUUAAGGAUGGCUCUUAGAUUUCAGUGUGUAGGAUAAUGUCUAAAUGGAAAUCGGGCCCACGAUGAAAAUGUUGAUUUGUGACGGCUUUGUUGUCAAAUUUCCCCGUAGAUUUUUGAUAUUGGGUCACUUUGACGAGCUCUUCAAAUUGGAAACCCCAAUUCAAACCAAUUCAUUCUGAAGUUUUUUUUAAUCAAUUGCAAUUCCUGCCAAGGUAUUGAGCUCAGAAUAAUGGUCUCCGUUUGAAAAGAUUGAAAGUAAAUGCGUAGAUCCAAAACAAUCACAUUUUCAGAUCAUUUUGAAACUCUUUCGAUGGAGAACACAUGAAAUUGCAUUCCCUUAAUGAUGAAACGCUUAAUUAUGUAUUGUUUUUCUAUUUCGCUUCCAUUUCAAUUAUGUCAUUUCAGUUUGGGGCUAAUGUAAAUGGAACAGUGACCAUUAAAGAAAAAGAUUUUCAGUUCCAAGAACCGGACAGUGGUGGAAGAUGCGUUGAUUAUUUAUUAGUUUUUGGUGUCAACGAUCAACAACAAGAAAACGACAAUAGUGACUCCGAUGACCGAGAUGCGCGUACAAAUAUCGUGAAAUAUUGUGGCACGAUUACAGGAGACAAGAUCCGCGAUUUCUCUAACUCUCAGCUUGACAUUCAAUUUGGCGCCGACCACACAGAGAACGGCAACGGAGCCGAGAUUGUUAUCUGCAUUGAUUAAAAGAGUUGGGGGUCAAAAGCCCGAUUCAAUGUAUUGACCACUUUAUGAACUUUUAAGUGAUUAUUGGUUUAUUGGUUUUUCUUUUAAUUUGACCGACUUCAUCAUUUCGAAAAUGCAUUAAUAAAUCCUUGGAAGGUC
This is a long non-coding RNA of Tigriopus californicus, 1399 nucleotides long. RefSeq lists it as uncharacterized. The record is from RefSeq and is a predicted model, not a curated record. Lineage: Eukaryota; Metazoa; Arthropoda; Copepoda; Harpacticoida; Harpacticidae. The transcript has 3 exons.